RNAcentral lists this long non-coding RNA (4396 nucleotides) under Triticum aestivum (bread wheat). Its description in RNAcentral is "long non-coding RNA (TAES_LNC013395)". The record is from RNAcentral. Lineage: Eukaryota; Viridiplantae; Streptophyta; Magnoliopsida; Poales; Poaceae.
UUUUUUUUUCUUGAAACAUCGAGUCUGGACUCGUAUGUACCGCUCGCCGCGGCAGAAUGCCGAGCAAAUGCACAUAGCGAACGCAGCUCGGCCGGCCCAUCUCGCGGUCGCGCCAGCGACUAUGGCGAUAGCGUUUCUCUCUGUUUGGGUUUUUCUUUUUGCUUUUGCUAGUUUUCAUUCGGUUUUCCAUAAAAUAAUACAAUAGUUAUUUAAUUUAAAAAUAUGACAUUUUUAAAAAGUGAAAAGAAUCUGAACAUUUUCUAUAAAUGAGAACAUUUUUGAAAUUGUAAGCACCUUAUUGUAAGAACGCGGAAAAUUUUGAAAAUUGUAAAGAAAAAAAUGGUAAUUUUUUCUGAACUUUUUUUAGUAACGAGAUUUUUUUUUGAAAAUUCAAAGUUUUUUAUUUUUUAAAACUCAAACAUUAUUUUACAAAUGCAAACUUUUAAAAAAACAAAUGAGUUUUGCAUUUCGGAGCAUUUUUUGAAAUUGGGAAUUUUUUGAGCAUUUUAUGAAAAUCAAGAACUUUUUAAAAUCCGAACAAUUCUAAAAAGAGGACAUUUCGGAAACUUGUGAAUAUUUUAAAAUUGUUGAAAAAGAAAAAGGAAAAAGCCGGUAAAACCCGUUAUCUAUACCACUAUAUAGUUUAUGAAUAACUUCUAGUGUUAGAUGUUGGAUGAAGCCAAUCCAACGGUAGAGAUAUGGCAAGUCUGAGCAUUGUUGGCCAUUGGAUAUCCUCUUCACCCAACUAGAUACCGCCAUGUACUAUCUAGAAGAUUCCGUUGUCGAUGCACAAACUUGAAAAGAAAUAAGCACUUCUCAUUUGUUGUAUAUCUUCUAUUCUUUAAUUCUUUGAUUUUUACUUCCAAAUAAAGUGUCGCCCAUUUUCUUACUUCAAUGUACAAACUUCAAAUCAUAAACAUUUCUCAUUUUUUCUAGAAUCUUCCAUGCAUUUUGUUUCAAAAAUUACCUUUGAAUUUUACUUUAUCUGUAUAUAUUGAUUUCAAGACUAUGAUAGUGGUUUCUUAAAGUCCAUUUGUCUUUGAACAUAUCAUACUAACUACCCAAAAGUGCAAUAUGAGAUGCUUAAAAACAAACGUGUUGGCUAUAUUUCACAUGAGUUUGUGUGUGUGUGUGUGUGUUCUAUCUAGCGGUUUUUCAUUUUCUGUUUUCUCUUUAUUUAUUUUUCUUUCCUUUUCUGUCUGUUUGUUUGUAUUCUAUUUUGUUCUUUUCAAUGCAUGUUGAAUAUUCUCUCAAAACCCCCCAAAAAUGCAAGAACACUUCUAAAAACUAAUGUGAAUAUUUUUCAAACACAUGUUGUACUUUUUCCAAACAAAUAAUAAACAUCUUUAGAACACAUGGUGAACAAUUCUUGAACAUGCGGUGAAUUUUUUUAACCAAUAGUGAAGAUUAUUUAAAUUCAUGACCAUUUUUUCCAAAAAAAUUUAACAUGGCGGACAAUCAAUUAAUUAACAAACAUUUCUGAAUUUGUUAAUAUUUUAUUAACAUUUUGUAAAAUGCAUGGCAUUUAAAAAAAUCCUGAUGCACGUAUUUUUGAAAUAUGAAAGCUUGUAAAAAUGCCUGGCCAUUUUUUAGCUUCACGGAUAUUUUACAAAAAAAUAUUUUUAGAGAAACAUGGAAAAUAUAAGUGCUUUUCCAACCCAAACACGCUAAAACACUUAAACAGGAAAAAUGUUUUUUAAUGCCAAUGUAUACAUUGUAUUACGUAAGACGGGACAAAUCAUAGUUUUACUAAAAUAGAGCAGACCAUGUGCAGGUUGAAUAAAAUCAAGGAGUCACUAACGAGCGGAAAAGAAAAUAUCUAUUUUAUAUUUUCAGUAUAAUAAUAGCUGGAAAUAAAAGUGGAUGGAAAUAAGAUUUUAGAUUUUUUUAAUUGAAAGUGCAUCUAGUCCUUCGUAGUGGGUUUUGAUGACUAAUUACAAAUCAUUAAGGGAUUAGUGUAUUGAAUGAUUAUACAUGUGAUGUUUAUUUAACCUAGACGAGACGUCGAUCGCUAAAUUUGUGGAGAACAUUAAAUACAUGGUUUGUCUCCCGAAGAUUUGGUGGAGAUUUUAUAGAUUUUAGUGCAUCUGUGAGUCACUUGAGUUUUAAGAGUGAGUAUAAUAAGGUGAUGUAAGCGGGAUAUAAGGGUUUGAAUAUUAUAUUUUUGUUGAGUCGAAGGAAAGAGAAAAUAAGCAGGUAGUAGAUUAAGUGCCAAUUGUAAUAGGGAUUUCAAGAAACUUUAUGAGAGUGCAAGGUUUGCUGUGUGUUCACAAAGUAGUACUACGCCUCUCUGGGUUUAUUAGUCCUCAUCGUAUUUUUGGUCAAAGUUUGACCACAUAUUUGAUUAGCAAAAUAUUAAUGCAUGUCACAAAAAAACAUUGUUGAAUUUGAAUUUGAAGGUAGUUUUCAAUGAUAUUAUUUUUUAUAUGUAUAACUUAUAUUUUAUUAGUUAAAAUCAUGGUGGAAAUAUGAUUCAAAAUACAAGGGGACCAAUAAACCAGGACGAAGGAAGUACUUCUUGAACUUCUAUGUAUGUUGGAUAUUAGAUUGGCUAUAAAUGACAUGACAACAUUAUAUAGGUAACAACUGACUUAUAGCCAUGCUCUAAGGUAAAAAAAUGCGCAUACACGUCAAAUCUCAUAUCAAUGGUGCAAUUUACUCGUAUCUGCUUACUUUUCGAACAAGGAGAAAAUAAAAGAUGGAUUAGUAGCAUUUGGCAAGGUAGUCAUCACAUCCAAACCAACUGAAUAAUUAAUCCCAAUGUGAAGUUUACAAACAAGGGGUAGAAAAAUGUGAUAGGGCCCAAAACAUGGAGGCUAGUAGCAUUUCGGUAACAAGGCACAAUUGAUCAGUUCCAACGCGCGUGAGGAUGGAACUUUGGUCUCUGUUCUCAGAAGCAGGCGUCCAAGAGACAACAGCAGCAAAGCGCGGCUAGGCUGUUGGAACAAUAUCAUAAGAGAAUCAUGAGAUAUAAUCAAGGCGAAUUUCUCAACAAACAAAGAAAAACAAGAAAAUUAGUACUAAACAUGAUAUAAUUGCAUGUUAAUAUUAGAUAUGAUAUAAUUAAUUGGUUAAUACUGAUGUUUAUAUUAGGCAUGAUAUUAAUUAUUGAAGGGUGCUAAUUUAGUGCUAAACAUGUUUAACACUGAACACCGGAGUGACUUAGACCAUUGGAUAGAUGCGGUUGAACGCGUAUGAUUUGUUGGACCUCCAUAACUCGCUUGGAAUACAAGAUAUAUAGAAUAUAGAAAUAGACAUAGAGAAAACCAUUUAUUGCCAAAAAUUUCAAGUUCCCACUAUAGUACUCGGUAUGGGUAUGUACGACAGACGACACUGGUGCCGGCGGGCGCCGGGCGCCGUGUACAAAACACCGGAUAUUCGUCAAGUGGGGAGAGGUGGGCAUAUUCCAAGCAAUCUGUAGAGAACCAGUUAUCGUAACACCAACACAUGGUCGCAUGUGAAAUGCUGAAUUUUAUACUGGCUCGAGAACACUUGACAGCAAAUGAAUUUGGACGAUUUCCAGCUUUUGCAUCUUGUCCGUCCGCCGCCGGAGAAGAUAUCAUCAUGAAGAUCAUAUAUUUUGAUCGUCAUGAUAUCUAUGCCGAUAUCUUCUCGUUUAUGGAAGCUACGGCUCUUGAUCUCAUCAAUGAAAUCUCCGGGUAUAUAUGAAUAUCAGAUACGAAUAGGUAGGAUUCGUACGUCCCGUUUGACCGAGGUUGGUCAUCGACGCGCCCUUUGCCAUUAAUCUGCGGUUGACACGUCGUGGAGGUCUCGCCGUUUCCACGGUGCAGUAGCUCGCGCGUCAAGUCGCCGUCCCUACCCAUGGAAACGUGCGCGCAACGAAGCCUAUCUAGCUAACUCGCCGGCGGCGACCCGGGCUGAUAUGAGCCCAGUUCCUAACUCUUUGAACAACUAGUUUGGAUCGAAAUUAAGAGAGAGGAAGUGGCGUACGUACCAUCCUUGCAUGAAGGAAGGCCCGCUGUUCUGCUGCUGCUGCUGGGGCGGGUAGCCCUGUUGAGGCGGGUAGCCCUGCUGGCCGUAUCCGGCCGGCGGGUAGCCCUGCUGUGGCGGCGGGUAAACGGCCGGAGGAUACCCCUGCGGCGGGUAACCUGGAGAAUGGAAGGUCCAGGCAGCACGCAAGGUCAAUUCUGUUCAGCCGUCGGGCAAAAGGUAGAAGGAGAAGUUGAUGGAAGGAGGCUGUCAUACCUUGCUGCGGCGGGGCGCCGACGGGCGCCUGCUGCUGGCCGUAGUAGCUCAUCUCCUUCCGGCCGGGGGUUUCUACUUUCUGGUCGGUCUCUCGCGCUGGCGCUGUGCAGUGCAGUGCAGUUCUACGGCUUGUGUUGGGCCGAGUGGUUUUAUAAAACGCGCCGGGAACGUGACUGACCUGGCUGGUGGG